Molecule: long non-coding RNA, 1665 nt
Organism: Xiphophorus hellerii (green swordtail)
Lineage: Eukaryota; Metazoa; Chordata; Actinopteri; Cyprinodontiformes; Poeciliidae
Exons: 3
Source: RefSeq, a predicted model, not a curated record
AAGGAAAAUGAUUAUUUAAUGCUAAAAUACACUUAAUCUUCCCACAUGUGUUAAUCACUCGUAUUUGAAAAAACAGGCUUUGGGUGACCUUUCGAAAGAGGCCCGAGGAGACAAGCAGACGCCUUCAACUGUUUGUUUAAGAGCAUACAAAAGCCAUAAAAUUAGCAUCUCCAUGGAAACGGCAGCUGGAAUGUGGUAGGAAGAAACUCCAGGAGAGUCGGCGAGAUUUAUAACAGGACUUCGGUGCGGGGGAUAUUCGUGCAGGACUGGGGGUUUCCCUCCGAUUUGCUUGGACAAAAAAACAGAGCACCUUCGAGGCUGAACCAGGUCUCUGAUUGGUCAAAACAACAGAACGCCUUUUUUGCAUAUAUUAAAUAGGGAAACACCCUUUUGGUUUAUAGUUUCAGGUCAACACCGGAGAAGGGAGAGUUUUUUACCAUCUUUUCUCCACGUGGGCGCCUUUGUCUGUCUCUGUGUUCGUUUGUCUUCCCUUGUGUGUUUUUAUUUUCAUGAGAAAAUGCAUAUCUCUGUUCCUCUGCAGCUUUGUUGUUCAUUGCUUUUUAUGAGAUUAAACUCUGUAUUUCUGUGACGUCAUCGUGCCUUGCCUUCUCCUUGCCAGCGUGAUGUCAUCCGCUCGCGACCCGGCUAACAGGAGGAGAGGAGAGCCAUGCCUUUUCCAAAAUUAAGCUAACCUAAUAACUUUCCUUCCUUAACAGGAACCAAUUCAAGACAACUCCUGGUGUGCUGGAGGGAUGAUAUAAGACGUCACUGGGGAGGAACUGUGACAGGAGUGUUGUCAAGUUAAAAGGGAGGAAAUGAGGCUCCGUCGCCUGCCAGCUUGGGACUGUAGUCUGGAGAGGGUGAGCAGAAAGAGCCUGGAGACGGGUCGUACCUACAGCUGCACAGGACACCUGUCUCCCCUGUAGCUCUGUCGCCGCUCUAAAGCCACGCAUGUACACGUCAUCCGGAGCACACAAUCUGACAGUCUGCUCAGCGGUAAUUCCUUCUGUCUCAUCACCCCCCACUGACUACCAAGAACCUUCAACAAAGGUGAAACGGAGCAUCAUGGGGAGUUAAGAGAAACCGCAUAGCCUUUCAUUCAGUUCUAGUUGCUCAAUAAGAGAUCAUGUUGUACUUCAGGUCAUUACUUUCACCAAUGCAAGAUGCACGCUUUUGAGCGGUUGUGCCGAAUAGUCGAUGCGUGGUCACAUGGUUUUGAGACGUUCGUAUUUGCUCACACCUUUCACACCUGUGGACACUCUUCCCACUUCAAGAUACAUCAAGCAUUCUCCAUUUCUUCCCAGCAAUUUGACAGUCUUUGAAUUGUUUUUUUGUUUUUUUUUAGAAUUGCACAAAUGUACUUAAUUCUGCACCAUGUCUGAUGAAUUCUCCUCAAAUGUAUUCAUGCAGCCAAAGCAUUCAUUGAUACAAAUGAUGUACAACUAAAAAUUUUAUAUGUGUAAAGCUGAAAAAAACAUCAUUUAAUAGUAAUAAAAUAAUAAACCAUAGGAGGAACAAUGAUUUAAAAUCCUAGUUUAAUAAUAAUAAAAAAAAACUUAUAUUGUUGAAUAUUAUUAUGAUGAUAUUCCUUAUGAUUACAGGAUUUGGACAUAUUGAUAGAGAAUUUUCAUAGUAUAAUAAACAGAGUCUUUAUUGGUGGGUUUA